GAUGAAGAACGCAGCGAAAUGCGAUAAGUAAUGUGAAUUGCAGAAUUCAGUGAAUCAUCGAAUCUUUGAACGCACAUUGCGCCCGCCAGUAUUCUGGCGGGCAUGCCUGUUCGAGCGUCAUUUCAACCAUCAAGCCCCAGGCUUGUGUUGGGGACCUGCGGCUGCCGCAGGCCCUGAAAACCAGUGGCGGGCUCGCUGUCACACCGGGCGUAGUAGAUUUUAUCUCGCUCAGGGCGUGCUGCGGGUUCCGGCCGUUAAAAAGCCUUUUUUACCCAAGGUUGACCUCGGGUCAGGUAGGAAUACCCGCUGAACUUAAGCAUAUCAAUAAGCGGAGGA
This 336-nucleotide unclassified non-coding RNA is filed under the name soil metagenome. Its description in RNAcentral is "partial contains 5.8S ribosomal RNA, internal transcribed spacer 2, and large subunit ribosomal RNA". The stretch from base 1 to 120 matches the Rfam family "5.8S ribosomal RNA", at positions 35 to 154 of the family's 154-position model. The record is from RNAcentral.